Molecule: ribosomal RNA, 348 nt
Filed under: uncultured bacterium
Lineage: Bacteria
Description: bacterial SSU rRNA
Rfam family: Bacterial small subunit ribosomal RNA
Source: RNAcentral
AACGAACGCUGGCGGCGUGGAUAAGACAUGCAAGUCGAACGGGAUUACUUCGAGUAGCAAUACCUGAAGUAAUUUAGUGGCGAACGGGUGCGUAACACGUGGGGAAUCUGCCGAGAAGUGGGGGAUAGCUCGUCGAAAGGCGAAUUAAUACCGCAUAUGAUCAGGGAAGACAUCUUUCCAACAUCAAAGCCGGGGCAACCUGGCGCUUCUUGAUCGACCCCGCGGCCUAUCAGCUAGUUGGUGAGGUAACGGCCCACCAAGGCGAUGACGGGUAGCUGGUCUGAGAGGACGAUCAGUCACACUGGAACUGAGACACGGUCCAGACACCUACGGGUGGCAGCAGUCGAG